AUACGUAGGGGGCUAGCGUUAUCCGGAAUUACGGGGCGUAAAGGGUGCGUAGGUGGUUUCUUAAGUCAGAAGUGAAAGGCUACGGCUCAACCGUAGUAAGCUUUUGAAACUAAGAGACUUGAGUGCAGGAGAGGAGAGUAGAAUUCCUAGUGUAGCGGUGAAAUGCGUAGAUAUUAGGAGGAAUACCAGUUGCGAAGGCGGCUCUCUGGACUGUAACUGACACUGAGGCACGAAAGCGUGGGGAGCAAACAGGAUUAGAUACCCUGGUAGUCCACGCCGUAAACGAUGAGUACUAGCUGUCGGGGGUUACCCCCCUCGGUGGCGCAGCUAACGCAUUAAGUACUCCGCCUGGGAAGUACGCUCGCAAGAGUGAAACUCAAAUGAAUCGGCGGGG
This 394-nucleotide ribosomal RNA is filed under the name uncultured bacterium. RNAcentral's name for it is "partial 16S ribosomal RNA". It matches the Rfam family "Bacterial small subunit ribosomal RNA", at positions 523 to 918 of the family's 1533-position model. The record is from RNAcentral.